UACGUAGGUGGCGAGCGUUAUCCGGAAUGAUUGGCGUAAAGGGUGCGUAGGCGGCCUGCUAAGUCUGGAGUGAAAGGUACCGGCUCAACCGGUACAGGCUCUGGAAACUGGCGGGCUAGAGAGCAGGAGAGGGCGGUGGAACUCCAUGUGUAGCGGUAAAAUGCGUAGAUAUAUGGAGGAACACCGGUGGCGAAAGCGGCUCUCUGGCCUGUAACUGACACUGAGGCUCGAAAGCGUGGGGAGCAAACAGG
This 251-nucleotide ribosomal RNA is filed under the name uncultured bacterium. Its description in RNAcentral is "partial 16S ribosomal RNA". It matches the Rfam family "Bacterial small subunit ribosomal RNA", at positions 524 to 776 of the family's 1533-position model. The record is from RNAcentral.